GCGGCUCCAGGCUCGGAUGAGGCAGCGGGUGAAGAGGGGGCGUAAGUUCUGAGGGUGACCUUGGUUAGAUCUCUUGCGAGAGAUUUUUUUUUAUGUUUUUAUGUUUCGGCCUUGAAUGGCCUUGUUUGUAUUUCGGGACUGGCCGUGUGUGGCUUUGAAUCCCUGCUGCUCCGCGGCUUUCUUUUUAUGGUAUGAUAAUCGGAUAACGCUUUUUAUGAAUUUGUGAAUAGUGGGG
RNAcentral lists this long non-coding RNA (235 nucleotides) under Brassica rapa (field mustard). Its description in RNAcentral is "long non-coding RNA (BRAP_LNC008546)". Lineage: Eukaryota; Viridiplantae; Streptophyta; Magnoliopsida; Brassicales; Brassicaceae. The record is from RNAcentral.